UUUCCUGAUGAUCAAUUUUACCAUUUAAUAACUUUCGUUCUACCGAAUAGCAUCUCACGAUGUUGAGGACACCUUUUCCCUGAAA
Molecule: small nucleolar RNA, 85 nt
Filed under: Sungouiella intermedia
Lineage: Eukaryota; Fungi; Ascomycota; Pichiomycetes; Serinales; Metschnikowiaceae
Description: Candida intermedia Small nucleolar RNA snR54
Rfam family: Small nucleolar RNA snR54
About the family: snR54 is a member of the C/D class of snoRNA which contain the C (UGAUGA) and D (CUGA) box motifs. Most of the members of the box C/D family function in directing site-specific 2'-O-methylation of substrate RNAs.
Source: Rfam by way of RNAcentral